This 618-nucleotide ribosomal RNA is filed under the name uncultured bacterium. Its description in RNAcentral is "bacterial SSU rRNA". It matches the Rfam family "Bacterial small subunit ribosomal RNA", at positions 567 to 1200 of the family's 1533-position model. The record is from RNAcentral.
GUUCGUAGGCGGAAUAGUGCGUCUGCUGUUAAAUCAAUGGGCUCAACCCAUUGCUCGCGGUGGAUACGGCUAUUCUAGAGGCAGGGAGAGGUAAGCGGAACUCCUAGUGGAGCAGUGAAAUGCGUUGAUAUUAGGGGGAACACCAAUUGCGAAGGCAGCUUACUGGUCCUGUCCUGACGCUGAGGGACGAAAGCGUAGGGAGCGAAGCGGAUUAGAUACCCGCGUAGUCUACGCCGUAAACGAUGUCAACUAGGCAUUGGAGGUAUCGACCCCUUCAGUGUCGAAGCUAACGCGUUAAGUUGACCGCCUGGGUAGUACGGCCGCAAGGCUAAAACUCAAAGGAAUAGACGGGGGCCCGCACAAGCGGUGGAGCGUGUGGUUUAAUUCGAUGCUAAGCGAGGAACCUCACCAGGGCUUGAAAUCUGGCUGCACGUCCCAGGAAACUGGGAAAGCCUUCGAGGGUGCCAGACAGGUGCUGCAUGGUUGUCGUCAGCUCGUGUCGUAAGAUGUUCCCUUCAGUGGGGUAACGAGCGCAACCCUUGCCGUGUGUUGCUUUUCACAUGGGACUGCCGUGGUUAACACGGAGGAAGGUGAGGAUGACGUCAAAUCAGCAUGGUC